GAUUGAACGCUGGCGGUAUGCUUAACACAUGCAAGUCGAACGGCAGCACAGGAAGUUUACUUCUUGGUGGCGAGUGGCGGACGGGUGAGUAAUGCAUAGGAAUCUACCUUUUAGUCUAGGAUAACUACCCGAAAGGGUGGCUAAUACUGGAUGUGGACUAUGGUUUAAAGCAGGGGAUCUUCGGACCUUGCGCUAAGAGAUGAGCCUAUGUGGGAUUAGCUAGUUGGUGAGGUAAUGGCUCACCAAGGCGACGAUCUCUAGCUGGUUUGAGAGGAUGAUCAGCCACACUGGGACUGAGACACGGCCCAGACUCCUACGGGAGGCAGCAGUGGGGAAUAUUGGACAAUGGGCGCAAGCCUGAUCCAGCAAUACCGCGUGUGUGAAGAAGGCCCUAGGGUUGUAAAGCACUUUUGUUAGGGAGAAUGGGUUUAGUAGUUAAUACCUACUGRAUCUGAUGUUACCUAAAGAAUAAGCACCGGCUAACUCC
RNAcentral lists this ribosomal RNA (487 nucleotides) under Ignatzschineria sp. 'ARUP UnID 350'. RNAcentral describes it as "bacterial SSU rRNA". It matches the Rfam family "Bacterial small subunit ribosomal RNA", at positions 27 to 504 of the family's 1533-position model. The record is from RNAcentral. Lineage: Bacteria; Pseudomonadati; Pseudomonadota; Gammaproteobacteria; Cardiobacteriales; Ignatzschineriaceae.